AGUGAACGCUGGCGGUAUGCCUAACACAUGCAAGUCGAACGGCAGCACAGUAAGAGCUUGCUCUUACGGGUGGCGAGUGGCGGACGGGUGAGGAAUACAUCGGAAUCUACUUUUUCGUGGGGGAUAACGUAGGGAAACUUACGCUAAUACCGCAUACUACCUACGGUUGAAAGCAGGGGAUCUUCGGACCUUUCGCGAUUGAAUGAGCCGAUGUCGGAUUAGCUAGUUGGCGGGGUAAAGGCCCACCAAGGCGACGAUCCGUAGCUGGUCUGAGAGGAUGAUCAGCCACACUGGAACUGAGACACGGUCCAGACUCCUACGGGAGGCAGCAGUGGGGAAUAUUGGACAAUGGGCGCAAGCCUGAUCCAGCCAUACCGCGUGGGUGAAGAAGGCCUUCGGGUUGUAAAGCCCUUUUGUUGGGAAAGAAAAGCAGCAGGUUAAUACCCCGCUGUUCUGACGGUACCCAAAGAAUAAGCACCGGCUAACUUCGUG
This 492-nucleotide ribosomal RNA is filed under the name uncultured bacterium. RNAcentral describes it as "partial 16S ribosomal RNA". It matches the Rfam family "Bacterial small subunit ribosomal RNA", at positions 29 to 507 of the family's 1533-position model. The record is from RNAcentral.